RNAcentral lists this transfer RNA (88 nucleotides) under Roseivivax jejudonensis. RNAcentral's name for it is "tRNA-Ala". The record is from RNAcentral. Lineage: Bacteria; Pseudomonadati; Pseudomonadota; Alphaproteobacteria; Rhodobacterales; Roseobacteraceae.
GUCGCGCUCGGGGCGGAUCUCGAGGCCCAUGCGCUCGCAGCGCAUGUUGAUGACCUCUGGGCGGCCGAUCAGGAUCGGCUGCUCGGUC